RNAcentral lists this long non-coding RNA (477 nucleotides) under Mus caroli (Ryukyu mouse). Its description in RNAcentral is "lncRNA (MGP_CAROLIEiJ_G0004321.1)". Lineage: Eukaryota; Metazoa; Chordata; Mammalia; Rodentia; Muridae. The record is from RNAcentral.
CUUUCCCGGCAGCGCCAUGGAGCGCAAGCUGACGGUGCAGCAUGGCGCACAGCGGAGGCCGCGGGCGGCCGAACCCGGCGUGUCCUUGGGCUCUUCCAGGUGCAACAAAACCGGUCUCAUUUGAAGGUGCUUGAACAAAUAUUUUCUAAAAACUUGUCAUGGAGAGUGAUUGAAACAAGCUACCAGGACUACAUUUGCCAAUAGCAAGCAUGGAGGUGGCUGUAGUGGAUGUCCAGCUUUGGGAGCUGCGAUUCCUAAAGACCCUUUAUUGUUUUGGGUGCAGCUUACAUAUUGGAAGGUAAAACGAAGACCAUGAACAAAGUCAAGAAACCAUGAACAGAAGCAAUUGGUGAAAAUUAAUAUUUAAUUUAAUAUUAAUAAGUUAUAUAUAAAUAAACAGUUAUUCUUAAUUGCUGUGGGCAGUAAUUUCUUUAAAAUGUCAUUCUUGUGGUAAAAUAAACUUCUCAUCUUUCAUGA